RNAcentral lists this ribosomal RNA (253 nucleotides) under uncultured bacterium. RNAcentral's name for it is "partial 16S ribosomal RNA". It matches the Rfam family "Bacterial small subunit ribosomal RNA", at positions 524 to 776 of the family's 1533-position model. The record is from RNAcentral.
UACGUAGGGUGCGAGCGUUAUUCGGAAUUACUGGGCGUAAAGCGUGCGCAGGCGGCGCGUUAAGACAGGUGUGAAAGCCCCGAGCUUAACUUGGGAAUUGCGCUUGUGACUGGCGUGCUGGAGUGUGGCAGAGGGAGGUGGAAUUCCACGUGUAGCAGUGAAAUGCAUAGAGAUGUGGAGGAACACCGAUGGCGAAGGCAGCCUGCUGGGCCAGCACUGACGCUCAUGCACGAAAGCGUGGGGAGCAAACAGG